GCCACAUAAAUGUUAAAUUUCAGGACUUGCACAGCCACCAUAGAGACCACGAGUUCCACAAGUCUUUUAUCUCUUUAUUGCUGUCAAUAAAAGCAAAUAUAAGUUAGAAGCCGAGAGUCGAAUACUAAAGCUGCGCGGAAAAACACUGGACAUUUUUGAAUUACAGCUGCGAAUGCCCAAUACGGCCAAAGAAGAUUAAACAGCUUACAGAGAAACAUGAAAAUAUUAAGGGCAAGUCGGAAGCUCCUGGGGUCAAAUAAAAGUUCCAAGAACAACAGUAAAUAUAGACAAUCAACUCAGAUGUGUAUGUGUUUCAGGUCCUUCAUAUCGACCAUCAUCUACUUCCACAGCUUUCGCAGUGACAUGUUCUUCUCAGUCUCUUUCUUCAUUACUUUAGCAACAGCCAUCUCAAAAUCUUCUUGCGUCACAUGCACCCUCCUCUCUCUUAGAGCAAACAUCCCUGCUUCCGUACAUACGGCCUUAAGUUCAGCCCCAGAAGCACCACUCAUCUUCUCAGCAAUCUUCUUCAAAUCAAUCCCCCGCAUCAAGUUCAUCUUCCUCGAAUGAAUCUUUAAAAUGUCCUGACGAGACUCUUCAUUGGGAUUUGGGAAUUCAAUCUUCCUGUCUAUCCUUCCUGGUCUAAGGAGUGCUUGAUCUAGAAUAUCUAUACGGUUUGUGGCCAUCAGAACCUUGAUUUUGUUUGAUGCCUCAAAUCCAUCAAGCUGAUUGAGAAGUUCAAGCAUUGUCCUCUGCACUUCACUGUCACCAUUGCCACUCCCUGAUUCCAUCCUAGCAGAUCCAAUGCUGUCUAUCUCAUCCAUAAAAAUGAUAGAAGGAGCAUGUUCCCUGGCCAUAACAAAAAGUUCUCUCACCAUUCGAGAACCUUCUCCAAUAUAUUUCUGCACUAGUUCGGAACCAGAGACCCUAAUGAAGGUACAAUCAGUGUGAUGUGCAACUGCCCUAGCCAACAAUGUUUUCCCAGUUCCUGGAGGUCCAUAGAGCAGCACUCCCUUUGGCUGAGCUAUUCCAAGAGACUCAAAUAACUCAGGAUGCUUUAUAGGAAGCUCAAUAACCUCUUUAAUCUCCUUGAUCUGCUGGUCAAGACCACCAAUCAUGUCAUAAGUGGAAUCUGGCACUUUCUCAACUUUCAUGAGGUUGACCAAUGGAUCAACUUUGCUGGGCAAAAUUAGAUGAAGAACAUAGCUAUCAUUGCGCAGGGCAACUCUAGUUGAUGGAGUGAUCUUUGUAAUGUCAAUGUUUUUGCCAAUAUCAACAACAUAUUUGCCUUCAGGAUGAACUUUGACUAGAACCUUUGACUUCCCCAUUACUUUAACAACUUCACCAACAUAUGAUCCAGGCUCCUGAAGCAAUUGUAAUUCCUCUUUUAGCAUUCUCACUUUAGAAUUGAGUUCGUUCCUCUGGGCUUCAAGGCGAUUAAGAUUGUGAGUCUUUACGCGGACUUGGAGCUGGAGAUCAUGGAUGUGCUGCAUAUAGUACUGUCUCAGCCCUUCCCCUUGCUUUGUUGGUUUGGCCGAACAGGCUUCCUCUCUCUCCAUAUCGCUCCUCCUCUUCUCAACAUCAACUGAUGCCAUUUUUCCAGAUAGGUUUUGAAGAAAUCGCUGUGAUUUGCGUCGUCCGGACUAAUUGGGUUUGGCACUGAAAGAAGAAUAUAGCGCAGCAAUUGGAAUUUCCCGUAUCGGUUUGGGGAUUUUAAAGCUCGUUUCUUGUUGGAAGGGAAAACAAUACAUGGGGAUAGCAAUGGGGGUCCUGGAUUGCAAUGG
Molecule: unclassified non-coding RNA, 1781 nt
Filed under: Hevea brasiliensis (rubber tree)
Lineage: Eukaryota; Viridiplantae; Streptophyta; Magnoliopsida; Malpighiales; Euphorbiaceae
Source: RNAcentral